AGACACCACGAGCUUGUUCCAGUUUUCUUUGCAUAAGAUAGAAUUGUCCUAGAUUAUGAAGGGCUGCCGCAACUCGUACAUCUUCUUGUCCAAAUGAUUCCUCGAGUAUUUUGAUUGCUUCCAAGUACAUAGGUUCUGCUUUAUCAAAUGCCUUUUUCACUCUAUAUAGCUCUGCCAGAUUGUUGUAAGCAGAUGCAACAUGUGGAUCCCUAUCUCCAAAACCUUCUUUAGCUUCUUGCAAUGCAGCCAGGAACAGUUUUUCAGCUUUCUUAAGUUUUCCCUGUAAAAAGAAAUCCCUUCCACUGUCUGUAAAAACUCUCCAUUUGGAUGUGUGUAUAUUAGAUACUACAGACCCAUCCUCAAUUUUGCGCAAGCCACUGAUUUCGACAUCAAUUCCAUCAGAAACCUCUUCUGCCAAGGCAGGACUGACAUUUACUCCAAGGAUUACGGCAGCUGGUCCAAACAGAAAAAUCCAUCGAAAUGAGUCUGAAAAGUACCCUCCAGAACCAAGCUCACUGGAAAAUCUACAUUGUCCAGCAUUGGGUAGCAAAACAGGGGAACUUCUGUGAAGUGGAGUAGCAGCAAGAAAUUUAGGGGAAAUUCGAAAUCUUUUAAUUAAACUAGCAGAAGCUUGUCUGAGAAGCAUCAUUCGAGUAAUCGAACAGUUCAAUUUUAGAAGAAAUUAUAGAAAGA
This 693-nucleotide unclassified non-coding RNA is filed under the name Hevea brasiliensis (rubber tree). Lineage: Eukaryota; Viridiplantae; Streptophyta; Magnoliopsida; Malpighiales; Euphorbiaceae. The record is from RNAcentral.